Molecule: transfer RNA, 84 nt
Filed under: Gordonia phage GodonK
Lineage: Duplodnaviria; Heunggongvirae; Uroviricota; Caudoviricetes
Also listed under: 1 other name
Description: tRNA-Ser
Source: RNAcentral
GGAAGACGUGCGUAAGGUAGCGCAGCCCGUUUCGAACGCGGGCGUGGUGUGAAAGCCACGGGGUUCGAGUCCUCCGUCUUCCGC